GGGCUCACUUCAGCCACACACAUACUAAAAUUGGAAUAAUCCAGAGAAGAUAAGCAUGACCCCUGUGCAAGGAUGACAAGCAUAUUGUGAAGUGUUCCAUAUUUUA
This is a small nuclear RNA of Sciurus carolinensis (gray squirrel), 106 nucleotides long. NCBI's taxonomy places the organism in Eukaryota, Metazoa, Chordata, Mammalia, Rodentia, Sciuridae. The record is from RefSeq and is a predicted model, not a curated record.